UUUUAUUUAUUAAUUAAUUUUUUUUUUAUUAUAAAUUAUUAAAAAUAAUUAUUAUAUGAUUUGUUUGAGUAUUUUAUAAAGAAAAAAUAAUUUUAAUUAUAGUUAAAUAGUAUUGUGAAAGAAAAUUGAAAUAAUUUGAAAAAUUAAUAUUGUAAAAGAAAAUUUAAUUUAUUGUACCUUGUGUAUCAGGGUUUAUCAAAUAAAAAUUAUUUAUUAUAAUUUUCUCGAUUUUAAAAGAGUUAAUAUAUUAUAAAAGUUAAUGUGACAAAAUUAUUUUGUAUAAUAUAUUAGAAAUGAAAUGUUAUUCGUUUUUAAAGGUAUCUAGUUCUUUAAGAAAUAAAUUUAAUUUAGAAAUUUUAUAUUAUUUAAUUAAGUAUAUUAAUUAAAUAAUUAUUUUAUUUUAAUAUUUUAUGGGAUAAGCUAUAAAAUAAAUUAUUAAAAAUUAUUAAAUAAUUUAAUAAAUAUAAGCUUAGAAAUAGCUAUUAUUAAUAAAAGUGUUAUAAUUUAUUUUAUAAUAUUGAUUAUUUAUUAAAUUUUAAUUAUGUAUUAAAGUAUUUAUUUUAAUUAUAAAAAUAAAAAAAUAAUGAUAAAAUUAGUAUAUUAUUUUGUAUAAAUAUAAUUGAUUGAUAAGUUUUUAUAAAGAACUCGGCAAAAAUAAUGUUCGCCUGUUUAACAAAAACAUGUCUUUUUGAAUUUUUUUUAAAGUCUAACCUGCCCACUGAUAAUUUAAAUGGCCGCAGUAUACUAACUGUGCAAAGGUAGCAUAAUCAUUAGUCUUUUAAUUGAAGGCUGGUAUGAAUGGUUGGACGAAAUAUUAACUGUUUCAUGAAAAUUUAUAAUAGAAUUUUAUUUUUUAGUCAAAAAGCUAAAAUAAAAUUAAAAGACGAGAAGACCCUAUAAAUCUUUAUAUAUAGAUUAUUAGAAUUUUGUAGAUUUUUUUUAUUAUAAUAAUUAAUUGUAUUUUAUUGGGGUGAUAUUAAAAUUUAAUAAACUUUUAAUUUUAAAAAAUCAUUAAUUUAUGAAUAAUUGAUCCGUUAAUAACGAUUAAAAAAAUAAGUUACUUUAGGGAUAACAGCGUAAUUUUUUUGGAGAGUUCAUAUCGAUAAAAAAGAUUGCGACCUCGAUGUUGGAUUAAGAUAUAAUUUUAGGUGUAGCCGCUUAAAUUUUAAGUCUGUUCGACUUUUAAAUUCUUACAUGAUCUGAGUUCAAACCGGCGUAAGCCAGGUUGGUUUCUAUCUUUAAAAAAUUAAAAUAUUUCAGUACGAAAGGACCUAAUAUUUAAUAAAUUAUUAUUUUUAUAUUGAAUAUAAAUAAUUUAA
RNAcentral lists this ribosomal RNA (1319 nucleotides) under Sarcophaga bullata (grey fleshfly). Its description in RNAcentral is "16S ribosomal RNA". The stretch from base 1068 to 1227 matches the Rfam family "Archaeal large subunit ribosomal RNA", at positions 2544 to 2703 of the family's 2987-position model. Lineage: Eukaryota; Metazoa; Arthropoda; Insecta; Diptera; Sarcophagidae. The record is from RNAcentral.